AUUGAACGCUGGCGGCAGGCCUAACACAUGCAAGUCGAACGGUAGCACAGAGAGCUUGCUCUCGGGUGACGAGUGGCGGACGGGUGAGUAACGUCUGGGAAACUGCCCGAUGGAGGGGGAUAACUACUGGAAACGGUAGCUAAUACCGCAUAACGUCGCAAGACCAAAGUGGGGGACCUCCGGGCCUCACACCAUCGGAUGUGCCCAGAUGGGAUUAGCUAGUAGGUGGGGUAAUGGCUCACCUAGGCGACGAUCCCUAGCUGGUCUGAGAGGAUGACCAGCCACACUGGAACUGAGCCACGGUCCAGACUCCUACGGGAGGCAGCAGUGGGGAAUAUUGCACAAUGGGCGCAAGCCUGAUGCAGCCAUGCCGCGUGUAUGAAGAAGGCCUUCGGGUUGUAAAGUACUUUCAGCGGGGAGGAAGGCGGUGAAGUUAAUAGCUUAACCGAUUGACGUUACCCGCAGAAGAAGCACCGGCUAACUCCGUGCCAGCCGCCGCCGUAA
This 504-nucleotide ribosomal RNA is filed under the name uncultured bacterium. RNAcentral describes it as "partial 16S ribosomal RNA". It matches the Rfam family "Bacterial small subunit ribosomal RNA", at positions 30 to 523 of the family's 1533-position model. The record is from RNAcentral.